GAUGAACGCUGGCGGCGUGCCUAACACAUGCAAGUCGAACGGGAACCCUUGGAUUCGUCUGAGGGGGAGAGUGGCGAACGGGUGAGUAACACGUAGGUGACCUGCCCCAAAGAGGGGAAUAACCACUGGAAACGGUGGCUAAUACCCCAUGUGCUCGGUGGUUCGUUCCAUCGAGGAAAGCUCCGGCGCUUUGGGAGGGGCCUGCGGCCCAUCAGGUAGUUGGUAGGGUAAUGGCCUACCAAGCCGAUGACGGGUAGGGGGCGUGAGAGCGUGAUCCCCCACACUGGCACUGAGAUACGGGCCAGACUCCUACGGGAGGCAGCAGUGAGGAAUAUUGCCCAAUGGACGAAAGUCUGAGGCAGCAACGCCGCGUGGGCGAUGAAGGCCUUCGGGUUGUAAAGCCCUUUUCUGGGGGACGAGAGAGGACGGUACCUCAGGAAUAAGUCACGGCUAACUACGUG
RNAcentral lists this ribosomal RNA (461 nucleotides) under uncultured bacterium. RNAcentral describes it as "bacterial SSU rRNA". It matches the Rfam family "Bacterial small subunit ribosomal RNA", at positions 28 to 507 of the family's 1533-position model. The record is from RNAcentral.